CCUACGGGAGGCAGCAGUGGGGAAUAUUGGACAAUGGGGGCAACCCUGAUCCAGCCAUGCCGCGUGUGUGAAGAAGGCCCUCGGGUUGUAAAGCACUUUCAGUGAGGAAGAACGCCUGGUGGUUAAUACCCAUCAGGAAAGACAUCACUCACAGAAGAAGCACCGGCUAACUCCGUGCCAGCAGCCGCGGUAAUACGGAGGGUGCGAGCGUUAAUCGAAAUUACUGGGCGUAAAGCGCGCGUAGGUGGCUUGAUAAGCCGGUUGUGAAAGCCCCGGGCUCAACCUGGGAACGGCAUCCGGAACUGUCAAGCUAGAGUGCAGGAGAGGAAGGUAGAAUUCCCGGUGUAGCGGUGAAAUGCGUAGAGAUCGGGAGGAAUACCAGUGGCGAAGGCGGCCUUCUGGACUGACACUGACACUGAGGUGCGAAAGCGUGGGUAGCAAACAGGAUUAGAUACCCUGGUAGUC
RNAcentral lists this ribosomal RNA (465 nucleotides) under Vreelandella stevensii. RNAcentral's name for it is "partial 16S ribosomal RNA". It matches the Rfam family "Bacterial small subunit ribosomal RNA", at positions 338 to 795 of the family's 1533-position model. Lineage: Bacteria; Pseudomonadati; Pseudomonadota; Gammaproteobacteria; Oceanospirillales; Halomonadaceae. The record is from RNAcentral.